Molecule: long non-coding RNA, 366 nt
Filed under: Oncorhynchus mykiss (rainbow trout)
Lineage: Eukaryota; Metazoa; Chordata; Actinopteri; Salmoniformes; Salmonidae
Description: lncRNA (ENSOMYG00000066763.1)
Source: RNAcentral
AUGAGUUUCAUUGUCACCCCUUGGAAGUAUUACAGGAGCAGAGAAAAUGACCUAGAUGAACGCCUGUCUCCUGUCAGAUGGACUAUCUUCACAGCAGGUGUGGUCUCCUUUCUCCUUGGCAUCACGGGUCUGCAUGGAGCUCGUAAGAAGAACAAGAACUUCCUGAUCACGUAUUCAGUUGGAUCUUGUCUGCGAUGCUUUGGACUGGGGUUUCUGACCUACUACCUUCCACCACAGCAUGGCUUUGUUUACAAACAACCUUGUAUGGAUCUAAUUGUGAAGAUUUACAUGGACAUGAAUAUUGUGAGGAACACCUGUAUUUUCUACGUGGUCGUUACGGUGAGUAGAAUAGCACAACCAGUCUGA